This 8710-nucleotide long non-coding RNA is filed under the name Hordeum vulgare. RNAcentral's name for it is "long non-coding RNA (HVUL_LNC003206)". Lineage: Eukaryota; Viridiplantae; Streptophyta; Magnoliopsida; Poales; Poaceae. The record is from RNAcentral.
AAAUUCUCCCCCCUGUCCCAUCAGCGUCGCCGCCGCACACCACCUGGUCUCCUACCUCGUUUUCCUCCACCUACCGAUCACGCACCAGAUCCAUGCCGAGCCAAACCUGAGCCAAUCCCCUCUUCCCUCCUUGAUCGGUUCCCAGCCAGCCCCGCACCUCGCCUCAGCCUGCUCCUCUUGCAUGCGUUGCUCCCGCUUCCCUCCCGAGCAACCCGAGGAACCGGAGCCGCGGCCUCCCGGCUGUGUUCGAGCCGCAGCGACAAGGUGACCGAGCCUAGCUGCAGGAGCAGCCGAGCCGCCCCAUGGGGCCUCGAUCCAAUAGCUGCAGCACCUACCUCGGCCAGGAGCACCCCCAUGCCCGGAGCUGAUUCUUACCCGCGUCCCGCACCAAGUAGCAGCAGCAACCCCGGUCGCCCUAAGAACCUGCAGGCCAGAGCCCUCUCCUCCUCUCUCGUCUAGUCUCUUUUCCUCUCCUCAAGAUCUUUUCCUCUUUCUGUGUAUAGUGCAGCAGCAGGAGAAAGCCAUGGCGCCCACUCUCGUGUCUGUCGGAGCUGUGCCCGAUGCCUACAGCCUCGGGAACGGGACCCCCUCGUCCGGUUAUGCCCGGCCCGCUGGCGAAGAUCCCCGCCGAAGCCGCCCCUGCAGUCUCUGAUGAGCUGAGCCGCCACAGCCUGCAUCCCGUCCUGGCAACAGAGAUAUCUCUGUUUCGUGAUUCAGUUUCGUCAGACUCGCCCCACGGUAUGGUUCAUCUGGCACAAACCCUGCAAUAUAUCACUCGAACAUGCAUAGGUCAACUGGCUUGUGACAACCGGUUCCAUCCCAGAGAUUUGGGGUUCGAAUCCCAGUAGCGCCAUAUUUAUUUUGCCAGCUUUUUCAUCAGUUUUUUCAUCAAAGUCGCUGUAAGGGUGCUUCACCUAGAGCAAUACUGCUUCUGUUAGCAUAAUUCUUGUGUAGCCAACUGGUUAGUCUGUUGUAUAGUGACCGUGAGGUCGUGGGUUCGAGUCCCCGGUGUGCCCUUUUGUUUUUCUGGUGUGUUAACUUGGUUCGAGUCAUAGCUUCCUUGCCUGAUGGCUCUACUAGUUCAACUUGCCUGAUGGCUCUACUAGUUCAACUUGCCUGAUGGCUCUACUAGUUCAACUAGCAUGGGCUAGCCCAGUGGCUGUGUGUGUGUGCGUGUCUGUAGGAGAGGUGCAGGUUUGAUCCCCCCACGUGCACAUUUUUUUCUUUUAUUUUGAGUGUGUGUGUUGUGCGUUCUAGGCCCACUUGCAUACACCAACUAGGGGCCCUGGUGUGCAUGGCCAGUGGGACCCCCUGACGAUGAUACGUAUAUUGUUUUCUGUAGUAUUUUUGAGGUAUUUCCAAAUCUGGAAUAUUCUAGAUGAGGAAUAUGCAAAAUCUGGCAUAUAAGAACAGCCCCGUGUUCUUGUUAAUAUCGGAGUUUGAUCCUGUGUAGUUUUCCCUUUGCUGUUCGUGGUGUUUUUCUUCAUGCAUUUAUAGCACUGUAAUAUAUGGAUUUGGGGUAGCAGAACCCAAGGAAUCCAAUGAAGACACUAGUUUCCAGUUCUGAGCAGUUCUACAGAAGUGUCACUUUGUGAUGAGGCGGCACUUGUUUACUGAUGCAGGAUGGGUUAAGUGCAUCAAUAGGGGUUGAGAAUCCAUGCAUCAUAUUGGGUAGUGCAUCCUCUUGUGCAUGUCGUGUGGUGAAUAUGUUUGUUGAUGCUUGUUUUCGGUUCCCUUCGUCUCGAUAGAGUUCUGCAAGCGUGUUGGAUUGUGAGGACCCGUUCGACUACAUCGGUUCGUCUGCUUCACCGAGUUGUUCUUCUUCCAAGCGGGAUCUCAGGCAAGAUGACCAUUUCCCCAGAUACCAUUACUAUCAUUGCCAUGCUAGCUUUACCGCCUCUAUCGAUUAUGUCUCGUUGCCUACCACAUGUUAAAUAUCAGCCUCCCAAUCAUGCCAUGAUAACCUUCAACCUGUUCGACCUAGCAAACCACUGAUUGGCUAUGUUACUGUUUGCUUAACCAUGUUGUUAGCGUUGCUAGUUGCAGGUGUAGUUGCUUCCAUGCGAAAGCAUGGGUUCCUUGUUAUAUCACCAUAUUAAUGCUAUUUAACUUAAUGGACCUAUAUACUUGGUAAAAGGUGGAAGGCUCGGCCUUUCUAGCCUGGUGUUUUGUUCCACCUUUCUAGCCCCCUUAGUUUCGGCUACCGGUGUUAUGUUCCAUAAUUGAGCGCUCCUAACACGAUCGGGGUUGUUAUGGGGACCCCCUUGAUAAUUCGUUUUAGAUUAAAGCUGGUCUGGCAAGGCCCAACUUUGGUACUACAUUUGCCUAAUCACCUAAUAAAAUUGCAUAGGGACUUCCCGGGCCCCGAGGAUAAUUUAAUCAACCCCCGGGCCAGUGCUCCUCAUGAGUGUUGGUCCCACCUGAGCAAUGUCCGGCGCCCCUCUGGUCACCCGGAGGUUUAGCGAUCCCGACGUCUAGCUCAUCCGCCGUGUCCUGAGAACGAGGUACGCGACUCCUAUCGGGAUCGUCGACACGUCGGGCGGCCUUGCUGGAUUAGUUUUACCUUUGACGAGAUAUCUUGUGCAUCGGGAUUCCGGUGACGCUUUGGGUAAUCUCAGAGUUGAGGUUUUCCACUAUGGAAUCCGACGAGAUCGCGAGCUUCGUGAUUGAGGAUUUAUAUGCGGCUUGUGGUAAUUUGUGAUGGACUAGUUGGAGCACCCCUGCAGGGUUAAAUCUUUUGGAAAGCCGUGCCCGCGGCUAUGUGGCAACGUGGAAACUUUGUUUAACACUGGUUCUAGAUAACUUGAAGUUAACUUAAUUAAAACAUGCCAACUGUGUGCGUAACCGUGACUGUCUCUUUCGUGAGUUCUUACUCCGAUCGAGGACACGGUGGGGUUAUGUCUGACGUAGAUAGGUGUUCAGGAUCAUUCAUUUGAUCAUCAGUAGUUCACGUCCGUUAUGCGUAGAUCUUCCCCUUCUUAUUUCUUGUACUCAUAAGUUAGCCACCAAAUAUAUGCUUAGCCGCUGCUGCAACCUCACCACUUAACCAUGCCUCACCCAUUAAGCUUUGCUAGUCUUGAUACCUUUGGAAAUGAGAUUGCUGAGUCCCCUAUGGCUCACAGAUUACUACAACACCAGUUGCAGGCACAGGUAAAGGUUACCCGACGCGAGCGCGUUGAUUGUUCAUUUAGAGUUGCUUCUUCUUCUUCUUCUUCAUCGAUCUAGGAUGGGUUCCAGGCCGACAGCCUGGGAUAGCAAGGAUGGACGUCGUUCUUCUUUUGUCGUUUGUUUUCGUCCGUAGUCGGACCCUGCUCUUUCUCUUGAUGAUUAUGUAAUGUACUGUCGUGACUCUGAUGUAGCUUGUGGCGAGUGUAAGCCAACUCUCUAUAUAUAUCUCUUCUUUUCAGUACAUGUACUUGUAACGAUAUCCAUUCUUGCGACACGACGAGAUGCGCUUCUAUCCCUGACGAGGCCCCCGUGCCAAAUUGAGGAUAUGGUCGCAUCUUGGGUAUGACAAGUUGGUAUCAGAGCCGUACCAACCUAGGAGCCCCCUUGAUUGAUCGAACUUGGCCGAGUCGAGUCUAGUGAAAAACUGCUUUGAGUCUAGUUAUAUAUCGGAGAGUAGAGUUCUUUUUUCCCCUCUUCUAUGCUCUGGUGAGGAAUCUUGACGUAAUAUUUUAAUUCUACUCGUCUUCUCACUCAAUUUUUUUUUAGGAUCACGCGGAUAUUCUUGCGAUCUAUAUGAUGCCGAUGUGACGGAGUUCUGUCUUGGUGCCUCCUAUCUGCUUUAAGUUUCAGGGGAGUUGAGCUCCAGGGUAUUCUCGAGCACAUCGUUAUCAUUCAGAUUUCUUAGUAUCUCAGAACGAAGGAUGUUCGUAAUUGCUUCAAUACUAGUAGUGGCGAGAUAACCCCGAUGUCCCUAGUACUGGUGCAGAUUGUUUGGGAGUACUGCCAUACUUUGUAUCAUUGUGAUCAUGAGGGUCUGUUGUAGAUGAAGGUCCGAGAUUCUGGUUGUGUGUUGACGGAUGUGAUACAUGUGAUGGGUUAGUAUAGGAGUUGUGUUAUUAUUACUCCUUGUAUCCGUGUACCGGAUUGCAUGACCAGAUAUUUCGGGAAUUCAUAGGUGGGAAUUCAAGUAGUUGCUUAUAGGACAAUCUUCCAACAAAUUCUUGAUGUUAGGUUGGGGUUCGACAUCUAGUGGAUUCGUUUGUUCACGGUCGACUUACAGCGGUACACGUUGUGUCUUAAAGAGUCCUUGUAGCUUGCUACGACUCGGGGACGCUUUGUAUGUCGGGUGCACUGCCUUGCACUUGAUGGCUACUGUAAGGAUCGAGCCCGUGCGAUCCUGUCCAUGAAAAUAUCGGACGAAAUCUUUCUCAUGAGUUUGUUCUGGCUUGUUUCAUAAGCCUCAUCCUUUGUUUUUUUGAAUAUGGUAAUUCAAGUUGCUUCGAUGUCAACUGGUGAUUUCAGAUCUUUCAUAAGAGGUGUUCUCAUAUUUUUAUGUCAAUGCUAAUUCUUUUGCUCAAUUAGACUGUCAUGUCAAUUCUUGUCAACCGGAGUCAUCGUAUCAAUUCCAUUCAACCGGUGUGCUUCUCUGCAACUGAAUUCAAUCUUAUCUAAUUUUGCAAGAUCAUUCUCUCUUUUAUUCCGGAGUUCAUCUCAUCUAGCCCAAGUUGUCUUUGUUUUUCCCCACCCUCCCGCCCUUUUUCUCAGUGAUUCAAUUUUCAUCGAAGAGUUUUCUUUCAUGUGCUUCCGUUAUCUGUUCUUUUCUCUCUUACCCGGUGAUUCAUUGUGAAGAUUCUUAGGAGCUUCAUGUUCAUCUUUAUUCAUUCUUGUGGUCUUUUCCCGGUGAAUUUAAUUCAGCUAUCCGUGUUCAUUAUAUCCUUUUUCAUCCUUUAAAUUCUUUCCUGUGUUGGAAAUUCUUUUCAGCCCAUCUUGUUAUUCAUUCUUCUCUUUCUAUUCGGUGUGUUGAAGAUAUCUCGGAAGUUUCGUGUUUUCUAUUCUUUAAGUAUUUCGAGGUUCUCAACCUCAUGUAGUUUUCAUUUGUACCGGUGCAUUCAAUCUGUCUUUCAAUCCUUUUAACGGUGGUUUAUUUGAGUGGCCCCAUAACCCACAGGUUUUUCCCAGGAUCUUUCCUGGCUCUUUUAAUCUUUUUCCGGAGAUCAUUAAAUCUUUCAACUAUGACGUAAGUUUGAUUUUUAUCAGUCAUAUCCCUUCUUCGAGAUCUAUUGGAAUUAAUUCUCAUAUUUGGCUCAACCUUGCAUUUCUCUUAUUCCGGAGUGUUUCAGCUAUUUUUGGUGUUGUUCCUCGUCAUCAUUCUCUCCAUUGAAAAUUCGAAGGAGUGUUUUUCUCGAAUCUUGGUCUAUUCUCUUGGAGAUUCGUCAUUUCAGCUUCGUGUUGUCAUCUUGAAUUUAUUUUCAAUCAUGAGUAAUCCCUUUCUUGCGAUCCGGUGCAUUUCUGAGUUGUUUUAUUUCUCGUUCCUCCGAAGGCCAUCAUUUCAGAAGACUUCUUCGUUCUCAGCUUUCAGCUUUCGUUCUCUAAUUCUUCUCAAUUGUUGUCUCUUCGUUCGUCUCUCGAUUAUCCGGUGCCUUGUUCAAGUUUUCUCUCAGGUGGCGCAUGAUCUCUUCAUUCUCAGAUGUUUCCAUGCAUUCUUGGAAUUUCCCAUUCAGUUGUGAAUUCUUACCGGUGCUUCCUUCAAUUAUGCCUCAAGUGGUGCUUAUCUCUCUGCCUCUUCAAGAUUCAUUUCUAGAGGAAUAAGUGUUAUGCUAAAUCCGUUGCUUGUCAUCAUCUAAACUUGAUGAAGGAUAGGCAUAACAUAAUUCUUAUUCUUGUUCUUCCUUCUUCCAAGGGAUUUCAAUUCUUCUUCCGGAGUGGCUCAUGAUAUCAAUUCCUUUUCUCAAGUGCUCUUAUCUUUUCUUUUCCGGAGUUCCAAGUUCUAUCAAGUUUCUCUUCGUGAAGCUUCAUCUAAAUCUUGGCAAGGUCAUAACCUUAUUCUUUUCUACCUUCAUAUCGUUGCAUCGUUCAUUUGUAUACGGAGGUCCUUCAUGGCGGUUCAUCAUGAUAUCAAUUCAUUCUCAAAGUGUUCUUCAAGAUUCUAUUGGAGAACCUCAAGUAUCCUUUGUCUUGCAUUUCUAUGUGCAGUUGUUCUUCCUUUAUCCUUUGCGGUGGUAUUAUAGCAUUCUUGUUAGUGUAGGAGCCUCGAAGAGAUUUCCUUUCAAGAAUGAGAUAAUUAAAUCCACCAAUCCUUUGAUCAUGAGAUUAUUCUUAACCCAUGAUUUCUUCAUUGAGCUAUCUUGGUUUGGAUUUCACCUAAAGCUUUUCCUAUGGAUUUCUUCUAUCAUGGUGCUUGUCAUUAAUCCAAGUUCUCAAUGUAUCCUCUUGGUGUAAGUAAUUGUUCAUAUCUUGUUUCUCCCAAUCAACCCUUGUUUCCGUUAGUGGCUGGUUGUCACUUCAUUAGUUUGAAAGGUUUCCUUAAGCCCACUACUAUCUUGUUCUUUUUGUUGUUAUUUUUUCAACAACUCCGUGCAAUUCUUCUUGCAAGGAUGCUUGCCAAGUUCAUUUGCGAUAAUAGUUGUCAUUCUCUCUUCAUUCUCUUCUUCCGUAUGAGCUAGUUCAUAUUCUCUUGUUCCGGAGGCAUUGUGAUGUUGCUCUUUGGGUCAAUCAUGUUAUCCUAUCAAGUUCAUGGUGUUCCCUUGUUCUAUUUAGUUGUUUGUUAUGUAUAUUGUCUAAUUCUCCUACCUUUUCGAAUUUUUGUCCCAUUUUCCUACCGAAGUGCUGCUGAAUUUUUCCGUGAAUUCUUGCUUAUUUCUCUUAUCAUUCCUCAUCUCUUUGCAACCUUGAAGGAUCGUUGGUUUCACUCGUUUGUCAAAGAAGCGACUAAAUUCUUACCUCAUGUUCUUUCUCAUCCUCUCCCCCUUUCAUUCUUGGAUCUCGGGGCGAGAUCCUCUUGUAGUGUAGGAGAGUUGUGACAGCCCGAUGCUGACGUUCCAGAAGAUUCCCCUUCUAUUCCGUUUUCGUCGUGUGCAUAUUUUCUUCUGUGGCAUCAUCAUCGCAUCAUGCACAUCAUCAACUUUGCAUCGGCAUCUCCGUGCCACCAGUUUUCAAAACUUGCAUCCGUUGUUAGUUGUCGAUUCUCGUCGUUGUUCGUUCCGAGUCCGACCGCACUCGCACGCGCCCGCGGCAUCGUCGAAACCCUGUUUUUAAAAGUGUGGGUAAAACUUUUUCAGCUUGGGGUGAGAUUUGACGUGCGGUGUUAUUUUAAUAUAGCUAGACCGCCUGUCGAAUUUCGUCGCGAUCGAAGUCCGUCUGGUACCCGAACGGUCGACCGUAGCGGCGCCGUAUUCGGUCUAUCGUCGGACGUUUUUUGGUAUUUUAAAAAUAUGUUGCGGGGUGCCCGUUUUCCCUCUCAUCUUCGCCUAGCCCCUCUGCACAGUGCGUCGACCCUACUCGCGGCCAGUCCGAAAACCUCCCGGAACCCGAACCCGGGGUUGUGACCGUUGGAUCCGGAUCAACCCCGUUAUACCGCAAACCGUCAUUGGUUUGUCCAUUGCACUCCCGAUCCUAAUUAUCUCGACCAUCCGAUAUAAAUCGGAGGGUCCAGAUGCCCCUAUACCUAACCCACUAGCUAUAUAUAGAAUACCCUUGCUCAUUUAGACCAGAACCCUAGAAAUUCUCCCCCUGUCCCAUCAGCGCCGCCGCCGCACACCACGUGGUCUCCUACCUCGUUUUCCUCCACCUACCGAUCACGCACCAGAUCCAUGCCGAGCCAAGCCAGAGCCAAUCCCCUCUUCCCUCCUUGAUCGGUUCCCAGCCAGCCCCGCACCUCGCCUCAGCCUGCUCCUCUUGCAUGCGUUGUUCCCGCUUCCCUCCCGAGCAGCCCGAGGAACCGGAGCCGCGGCCUCCCGGCUGUGUUCGAGCCGCAGCAGCAAGGUGACCGAGCCUAGCUGCAGGAGCAGCCGAGCCGCCCCAUGGGGCCUCGAUCCAACAGCUGCAGCACCUACGUCGGCUAGGAGCGCCCCCAUGCCUGGAGCUGAUUCUUACCCGCGUCCCGCACCAAGUAGCAGCAGCAGCAACCCCGGUCGCCCUAAGAACCUGCAGGCCAGAGACCUCUCCUCCUCUCUCAUCUAGUCUCUUUUCCUCUCCUCAAGAUCUUUUCCUCUUUCUGUGUAUAGUGCAGCAGCAGGAGAAACCAUGGCGCCCACUCUCGUGUCUGCUGGAGCUGUGCCCGACGCCUACAGCCUCGGGAACGGGAUCCCCUCGUCCGGUUAUGCCCGGCCCGCUGGUGAAGAUCCCCGUCGAAGCCGCCCCUGCAGUCUCUGAUGAGCUGAGCCGCCACAGCCUGCAUCCCGUCCUGGCAACACAGAUAUCUCUGUUUCGUGAUUCAGUUUCGUCACACUUGCCCCACGGUAUGGUUCAUCUGGCACAAACCCUGCAAUAUAUCACUCAAACAUGCAUAGGUCAAUUGGCUUGUGACAACCGGUUCCAUCCCAGAGAUCUGGGGUUCGAAUCCCAGUAGCGCCAUAUUUAUUUUGCCAGUUUUUUCAUUAAAGUCGUUGUAAGGGUGCUUCACCUAGCGCAAUACUGCUUCUGUGAGCAUAAUUCUUGUGUAGCUAACUGGUAAGUCUGUUGUAUAGCGACCGUGAGGUCCUGGGUUCGAGUCCCCGGUGUGCCCUUUUGUUUUUCUGGUGUGUUAACUUGGUUCGAGUCAUAG